ACCCAACAAAAAACCGAAACUCAAAACUAAAGCAAAAGGAAAUCCCAGAAGCUCUUCCAUCUCGGAGACGCCAAAGCCAAAUCUACUACUCUCCUCAACCUAAACGACGCCGCUGCCGUCCCAUCUGCUCCUCAGAUAGAAGUUGUUCAGUUGACUAUGGGAGACAGUGAGAUGGUAGUUACUGAAACAACUGCAGUCACGGAGUAUGCAUCUGCUGGAUAUGCUUCUACUGGCUAUGGCGAUACCAGUUCAAAUGUUGCUCCUUACUCUAGUGUUUAUACCACUGAGGGCACUGGGGUUUUUGCUGCUUCUGCUGAUGUGGCUUAUACUGUACCAACUGCUUCAAGUUUUGCUGAUGGGAAUGUAUAUGGUACAGAUUCUAAUUCAGUCGUACAAGAGGCCCAUGUCAACGCAAUUUAUGAGACUAAGCCAGAUGUUGGAAUGGGAAGUACUAGUGAGAAUGUAGUUGCUACGAAGAAUGCAUCUAUAGCGCCAUCUCAAGCUGCUGGUUAUGAGACUUCUGUAAAUGGCAGCAUUGGUGGUGAAGCAGUAAGCACUGCAUCUGCUGAGAAUGGUACUACUGCAGAUAUUGUGGAGGGAGCUGCUGCUGCUACUGUGGAUGGUUUGGUGCCACCAAUGUCAGGCGAAGAAGAGCGAUUGUGGAGUAUUGUGAGGGCUAAUUCCUUGGAUUUUGAUGCAUGGACUGCCUUGAUUGAUGAGACAGAGAAGGUGGCAGGGGACAAGAUAUUGAAAAUUCGAAAAGUGUAUGAUGCCUUUUUGGCUGAAUUCCCAUUGUGUUAUGGGUAUUGGAAGAAGUAUGCAGAUCAUGAGGCACGAAUUGGUUCUAUGGACAAAGUUGUGGAGGUAUAUGAACGAGCUGUUCUGGGGGUGACAUAUUCGGUGGAUAUUUGGUUGCAUUAUUGCAUAUUUGCCAUAAACACAUAUGAAGAUCCUGACACCAUUAGAAGGUAAUUGCUGUUCAGAUUUGCAUUCAUAUUGUUGCUAUACAUUGGAAUCAUGAUUGCAUGAUUUCCUGUGUCACAAGGAUCUGGUGAUUUUGUUGCUCUCUAACAUCAUUUUAGUAUGCCUGCAACAGUGAUUGCUCACAUUAUGGCGAAAGGUGUGAUGGGAAUGCUUUAGAAAUGCAUUUUUCUGAUGUGCAAACCCUUGGUUUUGAGGCUACUCUAGGGGUAGCUGUUUGAAUUUUCUUUUAGGAUGUCAAUCAAAUCUAUAAUCUGGCUUCAUUAUACACAUUUGCUUCUCCGAUGGUCUGCGUCAUAGUAAUGUAGUUGUUUUUGAAUUAUCGCUGUCUUUAACUUGACACUCUGAGGUGCAUCAAUAUGCAAAAUGCUGCUGGGAAGAUCUCGUCCAGUUAAGGGCUAAGAUGACCUCAUUCACUGCUCCAUUUCGGACAUAGUAUGAUUUUUAUCAGGAAGGUAAAUGCAGCAUUUGCAAGUGUCAUGCUGUUAGAGUGAAUUGUUCCUUCUCCUUCAACAUUAGUGAUUAGUCCCGGCGUCUCCCAUUUAUGGAUGUGUCAGCAUUGGCUGGGUCAGUCUAUGUUGAUGUCUUAAUGCUAUUUUCUUGUGCAUCAGGCUUUUUGAACGUGGAUUAGCUUAUGUUGGAACUGAUUAUCUGUCUUACCCCCUUUGGGACAAGUACAUUGAAUAUGAAGAAAUGCAUGCGCAGUGGGGCCAUGUUGCCAUGAUUUACAUGAGGAUAUUAGAGAUUCCAAAUAGAAGGUUGGAUGAUUAUUUCACUAGAUUUAAGGCUUUUGCUGCAAGUCAUCCCUUAUCAGAAUUAAAAACAGCUGAGGAAGCUGCUGCUGCAGUGCCUGCUCCUUCAGAGGGUGGUGACCUAGCAAACGAGGGAGAAGUUCAUCCUGAUGUUGCUGAACAAUCUGCUAAACCUGUAAGUGCUGGCUUAACAGAAGCAGAGGAGUUGGAGAAGUAUAUCGGCAUUAGAGAAGAGAUGUAUAAGAAAGCUAAAGAGUUUGAUUCUAAGAUAUCUGAUUUUGAAAAUGCUAUUAGGAGGCCUUACUUUCACGUGCGGCCCAUCAAUGUUGCAGAGCUUGAAAAUUGGCAUAACUAUCUGGAUUUUAUAGAAAGAGAAGAUGAUUUUAACAAGGUGGUCAAGUUAUAUGAAAGAUGCCUAAUUGCUUGUGCUAAUUAUCCUGAGUAUUGGGUACGUUAUGUCUUGUGCAUGGAAACCUGUGGAAGUAUGGAUCUUGCUAAUAAUGCACUUGCUCGUGCAACUCAAGUCUUUGUCAAGGUAUGAAAUUCCACAUCUUGAAUACUCAUGGAUCUUUAUCAUUACUCAUGUCGAAAUUUGUUAACAAGAAAUCAAUUGGUUCAUUUUUUUGUUGGGUGUUAAUUUGGAGCAGAAUUGAUUUUGGUUUCUCUAGGUUUAUAUUUUUUUUACAAAUUAGAAUGUUGCAGCUUUUCAUUUCUUUAACAUAUUUUAGAAGGCUUUAUUGGGAAGAUAAUCGGCCUUCUGAAACUAAGAACUGGAGUGGAACUGUGGAAUAAGAGACAUGGAUCUCACCUGAGUAAAAGAAAAGAUGAAUAUGGGCAUUUCAAUUAAAAUGACUAAAGGUAAUGUUAUUCAGUCACUUUACCUGUAAAACAGUAGAUUACAGAGCUAAAUUUGACACUGGAAGAAGCUGAAAAUUCCUGUGAGAAUAAGGGUGGGGGUGAGGGUCUGGGUUCAGCAAAUAGCAAUGGGAGAGAUGAAGAUGGAGCAGCAUGGCUCUGCUGUUGUAGCGCACAAAGUCUUACUUUUUUUUUGCUGGUUGUUCUACUUUGCCUUUUUCCAUUGAUAUGCCUGAACUCUGGAAUAAAAAGAUACAUGUGUACGUGCGUGUGGGUCUUUAGGCUUUUCAAGUUCUUGAAUUAUCACAUGCUUGUGAAGCAUCUAUUGCCAUUAUGAAGAUUCUGAUUGAUAUUUAAGGUUGAGGGAAAAUGAGAGUGCUCCUUUUUUUCUUUUUUCUUUUUCUCUAUUGCAAUGUCCUCAUGUUUGAAUUGUCUGUUUAUCCAUAAAUUUUAACAGAGACAACCAGAGAUUCACCUUUUUGCUGCUCGAUUUAGAGAGCAGAGUGGAGAUAUACCUGGUGCCCGAGCUGCAUACCAACUUGUGCACACUGAAAUCACACCUGGUCUUCUUGAAGCGGUUGUUAAGCAUGCAAACAUGGAACAUCGGCUGGGGAACCUCAAAGAUGCCUUCUCUUUGUAUGAACAGACCAUAGCCAUCGAAAAAGGAAAAGAGCAUUCACAGGUGUUGCCAAUGUUGUAUGCACAAUUCUCUCGGUUUCUAUAUUUGGUUGCUGGAAAUGUAGAAAAGGCUAGGGAGGUUCUAGUUGAAGCGCUUGAGAACACUCCAUUAUCAAAACCACUUCUUGAGGCCUUUAUAUAUCUUGAAUCAAUUCAGUCACUACCAAAGCGAAUUGAUUAUUUAGAUUCGUUAGUUGAGAAGUUCAUAGUGCCCAACUCAGAUAGCCUCAAUGCAGCAAUUGCUGUCGAAAGAGAGGAGCUAUCUUGCAUUUUCUUGGAGUUUUUAGGUAUGUUUGGAGAUGCUCAAUCUAUUAAGAAGGCUGAUGAUCGGCAUGCCAAGCUCUUUUUAGCCCAUAGGAGCAAGUCAGAGUUAAAAAAGCGUCAUGCUGAGGAUUAUCUAGUUUCAGAUAAGACAAAAUUAGUAAAAUCUUAUGCUGAUGCUCCUUCACCUGCACAAUCACUUAUGGGUGCAUAUCCAAGUACACAAAACCAGUGGGCAACAGGUUAUGGCUUGCAGCCUCAAGCUUGGCCACCUGUUACACAAGCACAGACCCCUGGCUAUGGUCAACAGGCUACAUAUGGAACAUAUGGUGGUUAUGGAAGCAGCUAUACUAAUCCGCAAGUGCCCUCGUCUGUUGGACAAACAGCAACUUAUGGUGCUUAUCCCCCAACAUAUCCUGUCCAGGCUUUCCCUCAACAAGGUUAUCCACAAGUACAACCAGCUGCGGCAGCUACAUUGGCCCCAGCCCAUCAGCCAGCUUCUGUUCCACAGCCCUAUUAUGGAAGUUACUACUGAAUCAGCAGGAUCUAGUUUUUCCUAUAAUCUUGUUAUUGGCUCCCUAAUCAUUAUCUAUUCUGAACAUAUACCUGUAGCUAGGGGUUUUUUCUGGAACGGUGUAGCUGAAAUGCGUAGGAAGAUGAGAAGUUUCAUCUCUUUAGGUGCUACUGUAGCAUUGUAGUUGGUACAUCAUGUUAAACUCCGCAAUUUUUAGGAAUUUUUUUUUCCUUGUGAGAACCUUACAUUUCGGACUGAGUUUCUUAGGUAGCUUUGGAGUUGAUAUGUAUGUAGGGGAAAAAGAAAAAAGAAGAAACUCGUUUGUAAUGUGGUAAAGUUCGAUGUUAACUUAAACACAAAAUCAUUCUCUGGCGUUGUUUUGGUA
RNAcentral lists this unclassified non-coding RNA (4426 nucleotides) under Hevea brasiliensis (rubber tree). The record is from RNAcentral. Lineage: Eukaryota; Viridiplantae; Streptophyta; Magnoliopsida; Malpighiales; Euphorbiaceae.